GUGCCAGCAGCCGCGGUAAUACGUAGGGUGCGAGCGUUAAUCGGAAUUACUGGGCGUAAGCGUGCGCAGGCGGUUAUAUAAGACAGUUGCGAAAUCCCCGGGCUUAACCUGGGAAUGGCGCUUGUGACUGCACGACUGGAGUGCGGCAGAGGGGGAUGGAAUUCCGCGUGUAGCAGUGAAAUGCGUAGAUAUGCGGAGGAACACCGAUGGCGAAGGCAGUCCCCUGGGCCUGCACUGACGCUCAUGCACGAAAGCGUGGGGAGCAAACAGGAUUAGAUA
This 279-nucleotide ribosomal RNA is filed under the name uncultured Burkholderiales bacterium. RNAcentral describes it as "partial 16S ribosomal RNA". It matches the Rfam family "Bacterial small subunit ribosomal RNA", at positions 505 to 784 of the family's 1533-position model. Lineage: Bacteria; Pseudomonadati; Pseudomonadota; Betaproteobacteria; Burkholderiales. The record is from RNAcentral.